RNAcentral lists this ribosomal RNA (411 nucleotides) under uncultured prokaryote. Its description in RNAcentral is "bacterial SSU rRNA". It matches the Rfam family "Bacterial small subunit ribosomal RNA", at positions 505 to 918 of the family's 1533-position model. The record is from RNAcentral.
GUGUCAGCAGCCGCGGUAAUACGGAGGAUGCGAGCGUUAUCCGGAUUUAUUGGGUUUAAAGGGUGCGUAGGCGGACUGAUAAGUCAGUGGUGAAAACCUGCAGCUUAACUGUAGAACUGCCAUUGAUACUGUCAGACUUGAGUAUGGUCAAGGUAGGCGGAAUGUGUAAUGUAGCGGUGAAAUGCUUAGAUAUUACACAGAGCACCGAUUGCGAAGGCAGCUUGCUGGGCCAUUACUGACGCUGAUGCACGAAAGCGUGGGGAGCGAACAGGAUUAGAUACCCUGGUAGUCCACGCCGUAAACGAUGAUCACUCGCUGUUGGCGAUACACAGUCAGCGGCUAAGCAAAAGCAUUAAGUGAUCCACCUGGGGAGUACGGCCGCAAGGCUGAAACUCAAAUGAAUUGGCGGGG